This is a long non-coding RNA of Vitis vinifera (wine grape), 940 nucleotides long. RefSeq lists it as uncharacterized. The transcript has 3 exons. The record is from RefSeq and is a predicted model, not a curated record. Lineage: Eukaryota; Viridiplantae; Streptophyta; Magnoliopsida; Vitales; Vitaceae.
CAGGUAGGAAAAGAUGGUGAAAGGUCAAUGCUCACCUCCCAGUCCACCUUCUCAACCUUUAUCAUCUCCGCCCCUCCCCCAUUUCCGUCCCUUGCAAACCUCCAUUUCCGAUUCAGAUUCAACACACACAAUCCUUCCUUCGGAGAUGGAAGAUAAAGAGAGAGCGAGCAGAGUUGACGAGUAAUAUGAGAGCCUAUUGCCUUUCCAGGAAAGCGCUGUAGCAUUAAGAAGAGCCUGUAAGAUGACGGUUGGAAGAGAGCGAGGUCAGGAUGUUACAUAAGGUGUAAGUUUAAGACAAAGAAGGAAAUAAUGAGGAAGUAAUAUGAUGGUUAAAAGCUUCAGUGCUAUGGGAUAACUUGCGAUAUUUAAAACCAGCGUGUUUUUCUCUUUGAGAAAGUAUUGGAUCUCCCAACAAAGACAGUCAUCCUACAAUGUAAGCCAAUUGACACUCCAAUUACUCAAAAUCAUCACCUCUAUGAAAUGUUGAGCCCUUCUGCCAACAGGAUGAUAACCACACUUGAGAGGAACUUAUUUAUUUUUCACACAAUUGGAGGCGACUAAUAAAUUAUAAAGGAAGCACAUUUGGAGAGCAUGUCAUAAAAUUUUAAGGUACUUAAAACAACAUCACUUGACUGGUUAGCGGUGUGUAAUCCCUAAGGAUUGGUCUAACCUAGAGUGUUCGCUUGUUUUACUGUGCACUUUCUUGUGUUCGUAUUCUUGUAAUUUAGUUUUCUUUGGUGGGAGGAUUUCUCAUCCUUCUCUUGUACUUCUUUUUCUAUCAAUAUAUCUCUUUGUUGUUUCCUAUCAAAAAAAAAAAGGUACCUUGUUUAUCAGGUACAGUCAUCUGACUGCAGUGUCAUACAUGGAUGUAGAUUGGGUGAAGAUCAUUACUGAUUGGAGACCCACUUUUGGUUGUUAUUGCACAAUUAUUUGUGGAGAA